AUUUUCCAUUUUACUUAAACCUUUACUUAAACCCCUGAUUGUGUAAAGCUUGCCCUAGACUCUCGUUUCCCAAAUCUGAUGUCGCUCGAUCGUGAUCUGGAGAAUCCAAGAGGGAGCAGUACAAUUGUCUAGACGCAUAGGAGAGUCCAAGAGAUCGUGAUCGAUCGUGGUUUCUCUCGCUCGCUCUUCUCUCCCUUCACUUCUUAUUUUACGAGGCACAGAGGAGAAUCGAAGAGGGAGAGAAGGAGAUCGAGGCCAUAUGAUUUGGAUCUCUUUUGAUCUGAAUCGAUUUUAGGCCUUUGUGAUCUUGAUAGUCUGAUGCAAUUGCUCUGCCCUAGUUCGUUAUAUGAUCUGAUUUAAUCUAUUCUGAUGCUAUUGUUCUGUUCGAUUAGAGCUUCGAUUUCAGAAAUGGAGCAAAGACCAAGGGCAAUGAACAGGUGUUUCUCCUGGAGAAGGCACCGGGGCAACAAUGUCUGAUGAUGAUGUUUGAUGGACCUGACACCAUGGGAUUUGGUCCUCUUAUCCCAACAGAGAGAGAGAGAGAGAUCAUUGAUGGAAUGUGUAAGGCAAGAGCUAAAGCAUGAAUUGCUGCAGGGUUACAAGGAGAAACUUGUGGACAAUAGGGAGGAAAUUUUACGAAAGAGAAGGGUUGGAAAACUCCCUGGUGAUACCACCUCUGUCUUAAAGGCUUGGUGGCAAUCACAUUCUAAGUGGCCAUACCCAACAGUAAGUGUUUGCUUAUCACUCCUUUAGAUUGUGUGUUCAGUUUGGUGAAUGGGAAGCACAAUGAACUAUUUAUUUGAAUGGGUUGCUUUAGUGCUAUUGGUUUCACAUUUGGUUGGGUAGAGCAAUUAUGGGUUAGCAUUGAGGCUUCAACGAAGUUUUGGCAAGCUUGUCCUCAUGUGGCCUUGAUAAAUUUAACAGUCCAUUUGGUAACCUAGGUGAGAAAGAGAAGAAUGAAAAGAUUAUAGGUGCUGGAUGCAUCUAGUGGGCAACAUGCUUCAAAAGAAGAUGAACAAGUAUCCCACUAUUUGAAGAAACAUUGAGCAAUCCAUAAUCUGAAUAGUGAGCUUAUUGAUUAUUUUUUUGAACAGUGAGCUUAUUGAUUUUGUUCUUGAUCUUCUGAGGAAGGAGGCUGAGAAUUGUGAUUAUGUUAAUAAUUGCUUGUUGCUUGUAGUGUUUCUUUUUCUUUUCCUCCAAAUGGUGUGUAUUGAGAUCAUGAAUUGGAUAUUUAAGUAUUGAUUCUUAUUUUGAUUGAUACUGCCAACUUAUGAAAAUCAUGCUCAGACGUUAGUGAGUAUAUUGUUAAUUCCUUUUUCUUUGGCUUUGCAGGUGUGAUCAGACAUUAGUGAAUAUAUUGUGCAAUAUUUGUGUUCUGUUAAAAAGGAUGGUGCUGUUGUGUUGUUAAUAUUGUCUGCCUUCCCAUUUUACCAUGUGCAGCACUUCGAGAAUAUGAAUAGCAAUUCAGUUUUGGAGGCUUAUUCCAGGAAUUGAAUUUCUUUAAUGGGGUUUGACUUUUUUUUAGAGUGAGGAUCAUAAUUUUGUGGAAACAGUUGAAAUUUAAACCAUUAAUAUCAAUCAACACAUUUUAUUGUACAUUGCUUUGACAAUAACCAUGACCUUAAAUUUUUUUCCACUUUCCCUAUUCUUAAUUUUGAUAUAUUUGUCAUUUAUUUCAGGAGGCUCGGGUAAGAUUUAUUGGGUUUGGAUCCGAUGAUGAUGAAUGGGUAAAUGUGAAAAAGGCUAUCCGCGAACACUCUCUCCCCUUGGAGCAUUCAGAAUGUGAAAAACUGGAAGUUGGAGAUCUGGUACUCUACUUUCAGUCCAUAGCAAGAAAAGAGAGAUAGUGGCAGUGACCUUGGCAUUGUUAAUUGCACUUCUUCUGCUAGGCAUAAGCUUGAUCAUGUAUCUCCGAAAAAGGAAAAGGAACAAUUCACAGCUGAAUAGAGAAGGCAUUCUGAUGCACAAGUCUGAACAAGGUUACACUGACAAAACUCAAAAGGAAGAUCUACAGUUACCAUUGUUCGACUUAAUUGUAAUAGCUGAUUCCACAAAUAAUUUUUCAAUCAACAAGAAGCAUGGAUAGGGUGGAUUUGGACCUAUUUACAAGGUAACAAUGUAAAGACACUCUUAUGUAGUUUAUAGGAUCAAUGCCCAAUCUCAUGGAGCCUGUCCAGAAGCCAUAAAACCAUUCAACUUUUUUAUCACUGCUUUUUCAUAAAUAGUAAUGCUAUGAACACAUAAAUUUUUCUACAAAAAGGUGCAUAGAAUGUUUGUUUUGCAA
Molecule: non-coding RNA, 2284 nt
Organism: Camellia sinensis
Lineage: Eukaryota; Viridiplantae; Streptophyta; Magnoliopsida; Ericales; Theaceae
Source: RefSeq, a predicted model, not a curated record